UAAUUGGAUACACUCGCACAGCCCCGGCACAUCUCCGAUCUCGCACCACACUUCCAAGUGCAUUUCAAAUUGCUAAUGAUGAGGAGCCGGUCGGUGUACGGAGCUGCUGCAAUGGCCAUAGCUGGCUCCAUCAUUGCGAGAUGCUUUCGUGAGACAAGCGACAUGCCAUGGUCAAGUCUUUGGCCAGUUCCCCAGGGCCAGCCCACCGCCAUCAGCCCAUCAUCCAGAACAUCCAACCCAAGCAGAUCCAGAGCCAACCCAGGAAAAUCCAUUCACUCCAUGCGACCCAGCGGAGCAUUAAAUGCAUUUAUUUAUGAGACCACCUGAUGCAAUCUACGACUGAAAUUGCAUAGCUCAUAUGCAUAUGAUGCGAAGGUGAUACUGAAUUUAGCUAGAAUUCACACCUCGCUUUAACCAGGCGGUUGCAUAAUAAUAUAUUAUGCUCAGGUACUGAAUCUAAGCUCCUGUAUCCACUUUGCCUUCUGCUACUUGCAACUUGUGGGCUUCAAAUCAGACCUACAAUGCAAUAAAUUAUCAAAAGGAGUUUUG
Non-coding RNA from Drosophila melanogaster (fruit fly), 549 nucleotides. NCBI's taxonomy places the organism in Eukaryota, Metazoa, Arthropoda, Insecta, Diptera, Drosophilidae. The record is from Ensembl.